RNAcentral lists this ribosomal RNA (913 nucleotides) under Hydnophanerochaete odontoidea. Its description in RNAcentral is "eukaryotic LSU rRNA". It matches the Rfam family "Eukaryotic large subunit ribosomal RNA", at positions 53 to 952 of the family's 3401-position model. The record is from RNAcentral. Lineage: Eukaryota; Fungi; Basidiomycota; Agaricomycetes; Polyporales; Meruliaceae.
GAGGAAAAGAAACUAACAAGGAUUCCCCUAGUAACUGCGAGUGAAGCGGGAAAAGCUCAAAUUUAAAAUCUGGUAGUCUUUGGCUGCCCGAGUUGUAGUCUGGAGAAGUGUCUUCCGCGCCGGACCGUGUACAAGUCUCUUGGAACAGAGCGUCAUAGAGGGUGAGAAUCCCGUCUUUGACACGGACUACCGGUGCUUUGUGAUGCGCUCUCAAAGAGUCGAGUUGUUUGGGAAUGCAGCUCAAAAUGGGUGGUAAAUUCCAUCUAAAGCUAAAUAUUGGCGAGAGACCGAUAGCGAACAAGUACCGUGAGGGAAAGAUGAAAAGCACUUUGGAAAGAGAGUUAAACAGUACGUGAAAUUGCUGAAAGGGAAACGCUUGAAGUCAGUCGCGUCGUCCAGAACUCAACCUGGCUUUUGCUGGGUGCACUUUCUGGUAGACGGGCCAACAUCAGUUUUGAUUGCUGGAGAAAAGCCUUUGGAAUGUGGCACCUUCGGGUGUGUUAUAGCCUUGGGUUGUAUACAGUGGUUGGGACUGAGGACCGCAGCACGCCUUUAUGGCCGGGGUUCGCCCACGUACGUGCUUAGGAUGUUGGCGUAAUGGCUUUAAGCGACCCGUCUUGAAACACGGACCAAGGAGUCUAACAUGCCUGCGAGUGUUUGGGUGGCAAACCCGAGCGCGCAACGAAAGUGAAAGUUGGGAUCCCUGUCGUGGGGAGCACCGACGCCCAUACCAGACCUUCUGUGACGGAUAUGCGGUUGAGCAUGCAUGUUGGGACCCGAAAGAUGGUGAACUAUGCCUGAAUAGGGUGAAGCCAGAGGAAACUCUGGUGGAAGCUCGUAGCGAUUCUGACGUGCAAAUCGAUCGUCAAAUUUGGGUAUAGGGGCGAAAGACUAAUCGAACCAUCUAGUAGCU